GACGAACGCUGGCGGCGUGCCUAAUACAUGCAAGUCGACCUUAGUGGCGAACGGGUGAGUAACACGUGGGUAACCUGCCCAUCAGAAUGGGGUAACCCUUAGAAACAGGCGCAAAUACCGUUUACGGAUGGAGGGACCCGCGGAGCAUUAGCUGGUUGUUGAGGUAACGGCUCACCAAGGCCACGAUGCAUAGCUGCGCUGAGAGGGUGAUCGGCCACAUUGGGACUGAGACACGGCCCAGACUCCUACGGGAGGCAGCAGUAGGGAAGAGUGUGCAAUGGGCGAAAGUCUGACCGAGCCAUGCCGCGUGUGGGAAGAAGGUUUUCGGAUCGUAAAACACUGUUGUUAGAGAAGCGGUAUCUAAACAGAAAGCCACGGCUAACUACGUGCCAGCAGCCGCGGUAAUUC
RNAcentral lists this ribosomal RNA (408 nucleotides) under uncultured bacterium. RNAcentral's name for it is "partial 16S ribosomal RNA". It matches the Rfam family "Bacterial small subunit ribosomal RNA", at positions 28 to 526 of the family's 1533-position model. The record is from RNAcentral.